RNAcentral lists this ribosomal RNA (629 nucleotides) under uncultured bacterium. RNAcentral's name for it is "bacterial SSU rRNA". It matches the Rfam family "Bacterial small subunit ribosomal RNA", at positions 9 to 615 of the family's 1533-position model. The record is from RNAcentral.
GAGUUUGAUCAUGGCUCAGAGCGAACGUUAGCGGCGGGCUUAACACAUGCAAGUCGAACGCGAACGGCCCUUCGGGGCUUAUUAGAGUGGCGCACGGGUGAGUAACGCGUAGGUAAUCUACCCCCCGGCGGGGGACAACUAUCCGAAAGGGUAGCUAAUACCGCAUAAGACCACAUUGUCUUCGGGCAGAGUGGGAAAAGGUGGCCUCUUCUUGAAAGCUACCACCGGAGGAUGAGCCUGCGUCCCAUCAGCUAGUUGGUAAGGUAACGGCUUACCAAGGCGAAGACGGGUAGCUGGUCUGAGAGGAUGAUCAGCCACACUGGCACUGGAACACGGGCCAGACUCCUACGGGAGGCAGCAGUGAGGAAUAUUGGGCAAUGGGCGCAAGCCUGACCCAGCCACGCCGCGUGAGUGAUGAAGGCCUUCGGGUUGUAAAGCUCUGUGGGGAGGGACGAAAAAGCCAGUUCGAAUAGGUCUGGAAAUUGACGGUACCUCCUUAGCAAGCACCGGCUAACUCUGUGCCAGCAGCCGCGGUAAGACAGAGGGUGCAAACGUUGCUCGGAAUUACUGGGCGUAAAGCGCGCGUAGGCGGACCGGCAAGUCGGUUGUGAAAUCCCUGGGCUCAACCU